CCCUUAGAUGUCCUGGGCCGCACGCGCGUUACACUGAUGCAUUCAACGAGCUUAUAACCUUGGCCGAGAGGCCUGGGCAAUCUUGUUAACGUGCAUCGUGAUAGGGAUAGAUUAUUGAAAUUAUUAAUCUUGAACGAGGAAUGCCUAGUAAACGCAAGUCAUCAGCUUGCAUUGAUUACGUCCCUGCCCUUUGUACACACCGCCCGUCGCUCCUACCGAUUGAAUGAUCCGAUGAAUACCAUGGAUUGAGAGUACGAAUGGGUUCGCUCAUUUCUGCUGCUCGAGAAGUGGAGUAAAUCUUAUCAUUUAGAGGAAGGAGAAGUCGUAACA
RNAcentral lists this ribosomal RNA (330 nucleotides) under uncultured eukaryote. Its description in RNAcentral is "partial 18S ribosomal RNA". It matches the Rfam family "Eukaryotic small subunit ribosomal RNA", at positions 1470 to 1796 of the family's 1831-position model. The record is from RNAcentral.